UACAGAGGAUGCAAGCGUUAUCCGGAAUGAUUGGGUGUAAAGCGUCUGUAGGUGGCUUUUUAAGUCCGCCGUCAAAUCCCAGGGCUCAACUCUGGACAGGCGGUGGAAACUACCAAGCUGGAGUACGGUAGGGGCAGAGGGAAUUUCCGGUGGAGCGGUGAAAUGCGUAGAGAUCGGAAGGAACAUCAGUGGCGAAAGCGGCUUCCUGGACCAGUACCGACGUUCAGGCACGAAAGCGUGGGGAGCAAACAGG
Molecule: ribosomal RNA, 253 nt
Filed under: uncultured bacterium
Lineage: Bacteria
Description: partial 16S ribosomal RNA
Rfam family: Bacterial small subunit ribosomal RNA
Source: RNAcentral